UACGUAGGGUGCGAGCGUUAAUCGGAAUUACUGGGCGUAAAGCGUGCGUAGGCGGUUCGUUAAGUCAGCUGUGAAAGCCCCGGGCUCAACCUGGGAAUUGCGGUUGAAACUGGCGAACUAGAAUCUGGCAGAGGGGGGUGGAAUUCCACGUGUAGCAGUGAAAUGCGUAGAGAUGUGGAGGAACACCGAUGAGCGAAGGCAGCCCCCUGGGCUGAGAUUGACGCUCAGGCACGAAAGCGUGGGGAGCAAACAGG
This 254-nucleotide ribosomal RNA is filed under the name uncultured bacterium. RNAcentral describes it as "partial 16S ribosomal RNA". It matches the Rfam family "Bacterial small subunit ribosomal RNA", at positions 524 to 776 of the family's 1533-position model. The record is from RNAcentral.